GGGGGACUUCGGACCUCGCGCUCAAGGGGCGGCCGAUGGCAGAUUAGCUAGUUGGUGGGGUAAAGGCCUACCAAGGCGACGAUCUGUAGCUGGUCUGAGAGGACGACCAGCCACACUGGGACUGAGACACGGCCCAGACUCCUACGGGAGGCAGCAGUGGGGAAUUUUGGACAAUGGGGGCAACCCUGAUCCAGCAAUGCCGCGUGUGUGAAGAAGGCCUUCGGGUUGUAAAGCACUUUUGUCCGGAAAGAAAACCUCCGUCCUAAUACGGUGGGGGGAUGACGGUACCGGAAGAAUAAGCACCGGCUAACUACGUGCCAGCAGCCGCGGUAAUACGUAGGGUGCGAGCGUUAAUCGGAAUUACUGGGCGUAAAGCGUGCGCAGGCGGUUCGCUAAGACCGAUGUGAAAUCCCCGGGCUUAACCUGGGAACUGCAUUGGUGACUGG
RNAcentral lists this ribosomal RNA (446 nucleotides) under uncultured Burkholderia sp. RNAcentral's name for it is "bacterial SSU rRNA". It matches the Rfam family "Bacterial small subunit ribosomal RNA", at positions 198 to 636 of the family's 1533-position model. Lineage: Bacteria; Pseudomonadati; Pseudomonadota; Betaproteobacteria; Burkholderiales; Burkholderiaceae. The record is from RNAcentral.